UACGUAGGGACCGAGCGUUGCCCGGAAUCAUUGGGCGUAAAGAGCGUGUAGGCGGCCUUUUAAGUCCUGCGUGAAAUCCUGCGGCUCAACCGCAGACGGUCGUGGGAAACUGGAAGGCUAGAGUGCGGGAGAGGAGAGUGGAAUUCCCGGUGUAGCGGUGAAAUGCGCAGAUAUCGGGAAGAACACCCGUGGCGAAGGCGGCUCUCUGGAACGCAACUGACGCUGAGACGCGAAAGCGUGGGGAGCAAACAGG
Molecule: ribosomal RNA, 253 nt
Filed under: uncultured bacterium
Lineage: Bacteria
Description: partial 16S ribosomal RNA
Rfam family: Bacterial small subunit ribosomal RNA
Source: RNAcentral